CUCUAUAACUGUCUCACCACAACUAUAUUUUCCGUCGUGAUCUUCAACACUCAUUCAUGGGUUCUUCUUUUCUGAAACUUUUUUAUCAGUUAAAAUUUAUUGUUACAGGCUACUCGAGUAAAAAAAGCAAAUGUGGAUUCUGUUUCUUCUUAAUCAGAUCAAUUAAUCUGAUGGGAUAAUUCUGACGAGAAUACCCGCGGGAUAUAAAGAGGAUAUGAAGUCGAAUGUGAAAUCUAGAGGACAAGUCACAAACUCAAGGAAUCGUGGUUGAUGGAAAACUCUUGACGAAUUCCGUUAAAUUCACUACUGAAUCUACUUAAGUUCACACUAUCAACGAAGAUUGAGGAGUACUAAGGAUACAUAGAACAAGAAGAAAACGAAGAUGAAGAAUCUGGAUUGAAGAAAGUCUUAUGGGAAAUUAUGUUUAAAUGUUUUACAAUCUUUGUUUCUCUAAAUUUAUCUUUUUCCUCUUCCUGCUUUUCUAGGCUUAUCUUUUUAAUUCUUAUCUUUUACGUUAGAUUGUAAUUUAAUGAAAAUAAAAUAUGUUAGUCUUUGUGACUUUA
Long non-coding RNA from Raphanus sativus (radish), 563 nucleotides. RefSeq lists it as uncharacterized. The transcript is spliced from 2 exons. Lineage: Eukaryota; Viridiplantae; Streptophyta; Magnoliopsida; Brassicales; Brassicaceae. The record is from RefSeq and is a predicted model, not a curated record.